UGCCUAUCUGAGGUCAGUUGGUUAACCAUUAUAUUUUCUUCAAAUAAGGGAAUUUAUCUGUAAAUUUCAUGGUUUGUCUGCAGACGGCUUGACAAUUUUGCUUGCAACAACCAUAGGUUUUUGACGAGUUUAUGUGCCAAUUACGAGUUUUUUAUGUAAUGAAAUCUGAAACUGUAUAAUUACAUCAAAUUGCAUUUAAAAUUGAAUGAACUUUAGGUUUAAAUGUUAGCAUUCAUUCCAUGCAAGCAUUGGAAAUUGGAACAGGAAGUGCAUACUUAAUGAGACAAGUGCUUGUAAUAUUGUUAUAAAUAUUGCUGCUGCCUAUGAGUAAAGGAUUUGUCAGAUAAAACAUGGUGUCUGUUAUAAACUUGGUUUUGAUAAUAAGGGGUGAAUAUAUGCUAGGAGACCCCAUUGACUUUGUUCCUGACACAAUUCAACAUUUGAGUUGCCUGCAAUUUGAGGUUAGAAGGCUUCAAAAUGGUUCAGAAUUGGUAUUCUGAUUUUCCAUCUCUAUGCGAUUCAACAUUCCUUUGUCUCAUUCUCAUUUCUGAAAUCUAUUUGAUGUUCAUAAAAUUAUUAUUCUACUCAACACAAUUGCACUUGGAACACAUGUUUUUUAUUUGCAGCUCAUUCUGCUUCUUUGUUUACUAUUUUUGCUCCAUUUCUAAGAUUGUUGUUGUUCUUCAUUUGCAUAAAG
RNAcentral lists this unclassified non-coding RNA (697 nucleotides) under Hevea brasiliensis (rubber tree). Lineage: Eukaryota; Viridiplantae; Streptophyta; Magnoliopsida; Malpighiales; Euphorbiaceae. The record is from RNAcentral.